This 492-nucleotide ribosomal RNA is filed under the name uncultured bacterium. RNAcentral describes it as "partial 16S ribosomal RNA". It matches the Rfam family "Bacterial small subunit ribosomal RNA", at positions 29 to 507 of the family's 1533-position model. The record is from RNAcentral.
AUUGAACGCUGGCGGCAUGCUUUACACAUGCAAGUCGAACGGUAACAGGCCUUCGGGUGCUGACGAGUGGCGAACGGGCGAGUAAUGCAUCGGAACGUACCCAGAGGUGGGGGAUAACGCAGCGAAAGCUGUGCUAAUACCGCAUGUGAUCUGAGGAUGAAAGCGGGGGACCGAGCAGCAAUGUUUGGCCUCGCGCCUUUGGAGCGGCCGAUGUCGGAUUAGCUAGUUGGUGGGGUAAAGGCCUACCAAGGCGACGAUCCGUAGCUGGUCUGAGAGGACGACCAGCCACACUGGGACUGAGACACGGCCCAGACUCCUACGGGAGGCAGCAAUGGGGAAUUUUGGACAAUGGGCGCAAGCCUGAUCCAGCAAUGCCGCGUGCGGGAAGAAGGCCUUCGGGUUGUAAACCGCUUUUGGCAGGAACGAAACGGUGUCCGCUAAUACCGGGCGCUAAUGACGGUACCUGCAGAAUAAGCACCGGCUAACUACGUG